UAGGGAAUCUUCCGCAAUGGACGCAAGUCUGACGGAGCAACGCCGCGUGAGUGAAGAAGGAUUUCGGUUCGUAAAACUCUGUUGUUAGAGAAGAACAGCGCAUAGAGUAACUGUUAUGCGUGUGACGGUAUCUAACCAGAAAGCCACGGCUAACUACGUGCCAGCAGCCGCGGUACUACGUAGGUGGCAAGCGUUGUCCGGAUUUAUUGGGCGUAAAGCGAGCGCAGGCGGUCAAUUAAGUCUGAUGUGAAAGCCCCCGACUCAACCGGGGAGGGUCAUUGGAAACUGGUUGACUUGAGUGCAGAAGAGGAGAGUGUAUUUCCGUGUGUAGCGGUGAAAUGCGUAGAUAUAUGGAGGAACACCAGUGGCGAAGGCGACUCUCAGGUCUGUAACUGACGCUGAGGCUCGAAAGCGUGGGUAGCAAACAGG
This 429-nucleotide ribosomal RNA is filed under the name Bacteroidota bacterium. Its description in RNAcentral is "Bacteroidetes bacterium partial 16S ribosomal RNA". It matches the Rfam family "Bacterial small subunit ribosomal RNA", at positions 355 to 776 of the family's 1533-position model. The record is from RNAcentral. Lineage: Bacteria; Pseudomonadati; Bacteroidota.